GCAAAUCAUGUGAGGGCAUACCAUCUUCCUCUCUCUCUCUCUCUCUGUCUCUCUGUGUGUAUAAAAGCUUCUCUCUCGCCAUGCUUUCACUUCAUUCUCAUUGCUUACAGUGGGAGCAGACUGAAGACUCUGUGUGCAUGUGCACAGUGUGUAUGUGUGGAGGGGAUGACAUAACCACGGGACACCCCUUGUCACAGAAGGAGUCAUUUUUUUCAGCCAACUGUCAUCCCUUGCUCCCUUGGUGCUCCCUCACUGCCUUCGGGUUUUGGGCAUCCCUGCUUUUGUUCUUCUCCUCUUGAAGCAUCUCCACUCUGCUUGGACAGUGGCUCCAUCGACGCAAAAUGGGUUGUGGCAAUUCCUCAGCCACCAGCACCUCAGGAGGGGGGCCUGCAGAAGCCUCCAAAGAUGUAAGAUCCUUCAACAGAAGAUGAGAAAAGAAGGAACUAUGGCGGUGUGUAUGUGGGUCUACCAGCAGAUUUGACCACUGUGGCUGCGAGUCACUCCAAGUCCACACACAAAGACUAGCACCAAGUGAAAGGAACACAAUGCAGGAUUCAUUCACCCAGAGACACUUAAGAUCAUGUGCUGUAAUCCAGGAUCAACAGAUCCCGGAUAAAGCCAGGCGUCAGUGUGAGACAGUCUGUGAGUGAGGAUGUGGACAGUGUGCUGCCUCGUGGACUCAUGACAGUGAACACAGUGGACACCUGCAUUUGGCAUCCAUCAUCACCAUUAAUUUUGCAUAAACAAAGAUGAGCACCGAAGUGGACAGGCGUGGACAGGCACCCACCUUUGGGACUGGUGACUUGGUUCUCUUCAGCAAGAGGAGACAUGAAAGCUGGCCGGCUGUUGCCUGAGUCCCUCACACACAUUCCCAGCGGUAAUCACUGCUCAGCUGAGGUGUUCUAUGAGUCACUGGGAGGUAGUCUGAUGAGAUAUGAAGACAGGAAUCAGCGGAAGCCACGCAAAGCCAUUCCUAUUAAUCAUAGUACGACCCGGUGUUCAGUCAGAGACCUGCUGCUGGAAAAGAACAGCUUGAAAGAGACUGUAAAGGUUGACAAGAUGCUAAUACAGCCGAAAGUGUUUUAAUUCAAAUUUGAUGUGUCGACCAUCCACAGGUCA
Molecule: long non-coding RNA, 1119 nt
Organism: Thalassophryne amazonica
Lineage: Eukaryota; Metazoa; Chordata; Actinopteri; Batrachoidiformes; Batrachoididae
Exons: 6
Source: RefSeq, a predicted model, not a curated record